GACGGAGGGUGCAAGCGUUGUUCGGAAUCACUGGGCGUAAAGCGCGUGUAGGCGGUCCGAAAAGUCGAGUGUGAAAUCCCGAGGCUCAACCUCGGAAGUGCAUUCGAAACUCUCGGGCUUGAGUACUGGAGAGGGGAGCGGAAUUCCUGGUGUAGAGGUGAAAUUCGUAGAUAUCAGGAGGAACACCGGUGGCGAAGGCGGCUUCCUGGACAGAUACUGACGCUGAGACGCGAAAGCGUGGGGAGCAAACAGG
This 253-nucleotide ribosomal RNA is filed under the name uncultured bacterium. Its description in RNAcentral is "partial 16S ribosomal RNA". It matches the Rfam family "Bacterial small subunit ribosomal RNA", at positions 524 to 776 of the family's 1533-position model. The record is from RNAcentral.